CCUACGGGAGGCAACACGGUCCUCUGGAUUGUAAACCACUGUCCCCAGGGACGAAAAUGACGGUACCUGGGUAGGAAGCUUCGGCUAACUACGUGCCAGCAGCCGCGGUAAUACGUAGGGAGCGAGCGUUGUCCGGAAUUACUGGGUGAAAGGGGAGCGUAGGCGGGGAUGCAAGUUGGGUGUCAAAACUACCGGCUCAACUGGUAGUCGCACUCAAAACUGCAGCUCUUGAGUGAAGUAGAGGCAGGCGGAAUUCCUGGUGUAGCGGUGAAAUGCGCAGAUAUUAGGAGGAACACCAGUGGCGAAGGCGGCCUGCUGGACUUUUACUGACGCUGAGGCUCGAAAGUGUGGGGAGCAAACAGGAUUAGAUACCCCUGUAGUC
This 382-nucleotide ribosomal RNA is filed under the name uncultured bacterium. Its description in RNAcentral is "partial 16S ribosomal RNA". It matches the Rfam family "Bacterial small subunit ribosomal RNA", at positions 396 to 795 of the family's 1533-position model. The record is from RNAcentral.